CCUGCAAAACGAAUCUAAGUUCCCCCUUAACCCUCUUUUCCCUCCCCAGACAAACCCAACCCAAAUGUGAUAGUUAAGGGCUAUUUAAAGGGGGUACAGCCCCUUUAAAAAAGGACACAACCUCCACCAGCGGAUAACCCCUGUACGCCCAACCCCGUGGGCCUUAAAGCAGCCACCCCCAAAGAUUGCGUCAAAGCUCCAUCAACCAAAAACCCCCAAAACCAAUGCGACUCCCUACACCCACAGCAGGCCAACCUAUAACAAUAGAUGAAUCAAUGCUAGAACGAGUAACCAGGACACUAUGUCCCCCCAAGCGCCAGCCUGUAUACCAUUAACAGUAAAACCUCAAUAAUAACCACCCCCACCAUUGAACCCACCCUGUCAACCCAACUCAGGGGCGCACACUGGAGUGAUCAAAAUCUACAAAAGGAACUCGGCAAACCUAAGACCCGACUGUUUACCAAAAACAUAGCCUUCAGCCAAACAAGUAUUGAAGGUGAUGCCUGCCCAGUGACACUAUGUUUAACGGCCGCGGUA
Molecule: ribosomal RNA, 537 nt
Filed under: Ara macao (Scarlet macaw)
Lineage: Eukaryota; Metazoa; Chordata; Aves; Psittaciformes; Psittacidae
Description: partial 16S large subunit ribosomal RNA
Source: RNAcentral